This 28-nucleotide non-coding RNA is filed under the name Rattus norvegicus (Norway rat). Lineage: Eukaryota; Metazoa; Chordata; Mammalia; Rodentia; Muridae. The record is from RNAcentral.
UGACAUAUUUCUUGGGUCUAGCAUAUAA